Molecule: ribosomal RNA, 460 nt
Filed under: uncultured bacterium
Lineage: Bacteria
Description: partial 16S ribosomal RNA
Rfam family: Bacterial small subunit ribosomal RNA
Source: RNAcentral
CCUACGGGAGGCAGCAGUGAGGAAUAUUGGUCAAUGGACGCAAGUCUGAACCAGCCAUGCCGCGUGCAGGAAGACGGCCCUAUGAGUUGUAAACUGCUUUUGUACGGGGGCAAACGCAGACACGUGUAUCUGUCUGAAAGUAUCGUACGAAUAAGGAACGGCGAAACCCGGUUCAGCAGCCGCGGGUAUUCGGAGGAAUCAAGCGUUAUCCGGGUUUAUUGGGGUUAAAAGGGUCGUAGGCGGUCGUAUAAAGUCGAGGUGAAAUAUCGAGGCUUAACUUCCGAAGUGCCUUUGAUACUGUUGGUCUAGAGAGUACUUGCGGUAUGCGGAAUGUAUGGUGUAGCGGUGAAAUGCAUAGAGAUCAUACAGAACACCGAUUGCGAAGGCAGCUUACCGGGCUACUUCUGACGCUGAGGCACGAAAGCGUGGGGAGCAAACAGGAUUAGAUACCCCAGUAGUC